This 429-nucleotide ribosomal RNA is filed under the name Acidobacteriota bacterium. RNAcentral's name for it is "Acidobacteria bacterium partial 16S ribosomal RNA". It matches the Rfam family "Bacterial small subunit ribosomal RNA", at positions 355 to 776 of the family's 1533-position model. The record is from RNAcentral. Lineage: Bacteria; Pseudomonadati; Acidobacteriota.
UGGGGAAUUUUGGACAAUGGGGGAAACCCUGAUCCAGCCAUCUCGCGUGUGCGAUGAAGGCCUCCGGGUUGUAAAGCACUUUUGGCAGGAAAGAAACGUCAUGGGUUAAUACCCCGUGAAACUGACGGUACCUGCAGAAUAAGCACCGGCUAACUACGUGCCAGCAGCCGCGGUAAUACGUAGGGUGCAAGCGUUAAUCGGAAUUACUGGGCGUAAAGCGUGCGCAGGCGGUUCGGAAAGAAAGAUGUGAAAUCCCAGAGCUCAACUUUGGAACUGCAUUUUUAACUACCGUGCUAGAGUGUGUCAGAGGGAGGUGGAAUUCCGCGUGUAGCAGUGAAAUGCGUAGAUAUGCGGAGGAACACCGAUGGCGAAGGCAGCCUCCUGGGAUAACACUGACGCUCAUGCACGAAAGCGUGGGGAGCAAACAGG